This 77-nucleotide transfer RNA is filed under the name Fidelibacterota bacterium. RNAcentral describes it as "tRNA-Arg". It matches the Rfam family "tRNA". Rfam says of the family: Transfer RNA (tRNA) molecules are approximately 80 nucleotides in length. Their secondary structure includes four short double-helical elements and three loops (D, anti-codon, and T loops). Lineage: Bacteria; Pseudomonadati; Fidelibacterota. The record is from RNAcentral.
GCGCCCGUAGCUCAGCUGGAUAGAGCGUUGGAUUCCGGUUCCAGAGGCCACAGGUUCGACUCCUGUCGGGCGUACCA